Molecule: ribosomal RNA, 869 nt
Filed under: Pseudophialophora magnispora
Lineage: Eukaryota; Fungi; Ascomycota; Sordariomycetes; Magnaporthales; Magnaporthaceae
Description: LSU rRNA
Rfam family: Eukaryotic large subunit ribosomal RNA
Source: RNAcentral
ACCAACAGGGAUUGCCCUAGUAACGGCGAGUGAAGCGGCAACAGCUCAAAUUUGAAAUCUGGCCCCCAGGCCCGAGUUGUAAUUUGUAGAGGAUGCUUUUGGUGACGCGCUUACCGAGUCCCCUGGAAUGGGGCGCCACAGAGGGUGAGAGCCCCGUAUGGUUUGCCGCCGAGCCUCUGUAAAGCUCCUUCGACGAGUCGAGUAGUUUGGGAAUGCUGCUCUAAAUGGGAGGUAAAUUUCUUCUAAAGCUAAAUACCGGCCAGAGACCGAUAGCGCACAAGUAGAGUGAUCGAAAGAUGAAAAGCACUUUGAAAAGAGGGUUAAAUAGCACGUGAAAUUGUUGAAAGGGAAGCGCUUGUGACCAGACUCGCGCCGGGCGGAUCAUCCAGCGUUCUCGCUGGUGCACUCCGCCCGGCUCGGGCCAGCAUCGGUUUUCGCCGGGGGACAAAAGCCUCGGGAACGUGGCCCCCUUCGGGGGGUGUUAUAGCCCGUGGCAGAAUACCCCGGCGGGGACCGAGGACCGCGCUUCGGCAAGGAUGCUGGCGUAAUGGUCAUCAGCGACCCGUCUUGAAACACGGACCGAGGAGUCAAGCAUUAGUGCGAGUGUUUGGGUGUAAAACCCGCACGCGUAAUGAAAGUGAACGUAGGUGAGAGCUUCGGCGCAUCAUCGACCGAUCCUGAAGUUUACGGAUGGAUUUGAGUAGGAGCAUUAACGCUUGGACCCGAAAGAUGGUGAACUAUACUUGAAUAGGGUGAAGCCAGAGGAAACUCUGGUGGAGGCUCGCAGCGGUUCUGACGUGCAAAUCGAUCGUCAAAUUUGAGUAUAGGGGCGAAAGACUAAUCGAACCAUCUAGUAGCUGGUUACCGCC